AGAGUUUGAUCAUGGCUCAGGACGAACGCUGGCGGCGUGCUUAACACAUGCAAGUCGAGCGAGGCCCUCCUUCGGGGGGUGCCCUAGCGGCGAACGGGUGAGUAACACGUGGGCAACCUGCCCUCAGCUCUGGGAUAACUCCAAGAAAUUGGUGCUAAUACCGGAUGUGACCGCUGACCGCAUGGUCUGGUGGUGGAAAGAUUCAUCGGCUGAGGAUGGGCCCGCGGCCUAUCAGCUUGUUGGUGGGGUGAUGGCCUACCAAGGCGACGACGGGUAGCCGGCCUGAGAGGGUGACCGGCCACACUGGGACUGAGACACGGCCCAGACUCCUACGGGAGGCAGCAGUGGGGAAUAUUGCGCAAUGGGCGAAAGCCUGACGCAGCGACGCCGCGUGAGGGAUGACGGCCUUCGGGUUGUAAACCUCUUUCAGUAGGGACGAAGCGCAAGUGACGGUACCUACAGAAGAAGCACCGGCCAACUACGUGCCAGCAGCCGCGGUAAUACGUAGGGUGCAAGCGUUGUCCGGAAUUAUUGGGCGUAAAGAGCUCGUAGGCGGUCUGUCACGUCGGCUGUGAAAACCCGAGGCUCAACCUCGGGCCUGCAGUCGAUACGGGCAAACUAGAGUACUGCAGGGGAGACUGGAAUUCCUGGUGUAGCGGUGAAAUGCGCGAUAUCAGGAGGAACACCGGUGGCGAAGGGGGUCUCUGGGCAGUAACUGACGCUGAGGAGCGAAAGCGUGGGGAGCGAACAGGAUUAGAUACCCUAGUAGUCC
RNAcentral lists this ribosomal RNA (772 nucleotides) under uncultured bacterium. Its description in RNAcentral is "bacterial SSU rRNA". It matches the Rfam family "Bacterial small subunit ribosomal RNA", at positions 8 to 796 of the family's 1533-position model. The record is from RNAcentral.